Molecule: ribosomal RNA, 253 nt
Filed under: uncultured prokaryote
Description: partial 16S ribosomal RNA
Rfam family: Bacterial small subunit ribosomal RNA
Source: RNAcentral
ACAGAGGGGGCAAGCGUUGUUCGGAAUUAUUGGGCGUAAAGGGCGCGUAGGCGGUGCGGUAAGUCACCUGUGAAAUCCCGGGGCUCAACCCCGGAACUGCAUUCGAAACUGCCUUGCUCGAGUACUGGAGAGGAGACUGGAAUUUACGGUGUAGCAGUGAAAUGCGUAGAUAUCGUAAGGAAGACCAGUGGCGAAGGCGAGUCUCUGGACAGUUACUGACACUGAGGCACGAAGGCCAGGGGAGCAAACGGGA